Molecule: ribosomal RNA, 433 nt
Filed under: uncultured bacterium
Lineage: Bacteria
Description: partial 16S ribosomal RNA
Rfam family: Bacterial small subunit ribosomal RNA
Source: RNAcentral
AACGAACGCUGGCGGCAUGCCUAACACAUGCAAGUCGAACGAGACCUUCGGGUCUAGUGGCGCACGGGUGCGUAACGCGUGGGAACCUGCCCUUAGGUUCGGAAUAACUCCCCGAAAGGGGUGCUAAUACCGGAUAAUGUCUUCGGACCAAAGAUUUAUCGCCUUUGGAUGGGCCCGCGUUGGAUUAGCUAGUUGGUAGGGUAAAAGCCUACCAAGGCGACGAUCCAUAGCUGGUCUGAGAGGAUGAUCAGCCACACUGGGACUGAGACACGGCCCAGACUCCUACGGGAGGCAGCAGUGGGGAAUAUUGGACAAUGGGCGAAAGCCUGAUCCAGCAAUGCCGCGUGAGUGAUGAAGGCCUUAGGGUUGUAAAGCUCUUUUACCCGGGAUGAUAAUUACAGUACCGGGAGAAUAAGCGCCGGCUAACUCCGUG